RNAcentral lists this ribosomal RNA (531 nucleotides) under uncultured bacterium. RNAcentral describes it as "bacterial SSU rRNA". It matches the Rfam family "Bacterial small subunit ribosomal RNA", at positions 8 to 526 of the family's 1533-position model. The record is from RNAcentral.
AGAGUUUGAUCCUGGCUCAGGACGAACGCUGGCGGCGCGCUUAACACAUGCAAGUCGAGCGAGAACCAGUCCUUCGGGACUGGGGACAGCGGCGAACGGGUGAGUAACACGUGAGUAAUCCACCCUCGGCACCGGGAUAGCCCGGGGAAACCCGGAUUAAUACCGGAUGGCCCAGCAGCUCUUCGGGCCGGCUGGAAAAGGUAGCUUCGGCCUCCGGUCAGGGACGAGCCCGCGGCGGAUUAGCUUGUUGGCGGGGUAAAAGCCCACCAAGGCGACGAUCCGUAGCUGGUCUGAGAGGACGAUCAGCCACACUGGGACUGAGACACGGCCCAGACUCCUACGGGAGGCAGCAGUGGGGAAUCUUGCGCAAUGGGCGAAAGCCUGACGCAGCGACGCCGCGUGAGGGAAGAAGGCCUUCGGGUUGUAAACCUCUUUCAGGAGGGACGAAGCCACUCGGGUUAAUAGCCCAGAGGGUGACGGUACCUCCAGAAGAAGCCCCGGCUAACUACGUGCCAGCAGCCGCGGUAAUAC